This is a non-coding RNA of Diatrype stigma, 130 nucleotides long. NCBI's taxonomy places the organism in Eukaryota, Fungi, Ascomycota, Sordariomycetes, Xylariales, Diatrypaceae. The record is from the annotation of a GenBank genome assembly.
GCCCGGAUGGUCUAGAGGUAUGAUUCUCGCUUUGGGGUUUGAUUGUAUGCUGCAUAAUACCUGUAUUGGUUUAUGGAUCUUACAUUCUUCUGUAUGCGAGAGGUCCCCGGUUCGAUCCCGGGUUCGGGCC